This 255-nucleotide ribosomal RNA is filed under the name uncultured bacterium. RNAcentral describes it as "partial 16S ribosomal RNA". It matches the Rfam family "Bacterial small subunit ribosomal RNA", at positions 524 to 777 of the family's 1533-position model. The record is from RNAcentral.
UACGGAGGGUGCAAGCGUUAAUCGGAAUUACUGGGCGUAAAGCGUGCGUAGGCGGUUCGUUAAGUCUGUUGUGAAAGCCCCGGGCUCAACCUGGGAAUGGCAAUGGAUACUGGCGAGCUAGAGUGUGUCAGAGGAUGGUGGAAUUCCCGGGUGUAGCGGUGAAAUGCGUAGAGAUCGGGAGGAACAUCAGUGGCGAAGGCGGCCAUCUGGGACAACACUGACGCUGAGGCACGAAAGCGUGGGGAGCAAACAGGA